This 4853-nucleotide unclassified non-coding RNA is filed under the name Leishmania donovani. RNAcentral describes it as "gene:LdHU3.07.0510(CDS-product:EamA-like_transpor ter_family/UAA_transporter_family/Eukaryotic_protein_of_unk nown_function_(DUF914)_putative)". The record is from RNAcentral. Lineage: Eukaryota; Euglenozoa; Kinetoplastea; Trypanosomatida; Trypanosomatidae.
UCGGUGCAGGUACGUACGCACACGCAUUACGCACUAUACAUAACCGACUUCACACCGGACCAACCACGAUAUUCGUGGUUUUGGCGCUCUUGCGUGUGCCUACUUUGCGAAAUCUGGCGUGCGCGCGUGCGUGACACGCACCUGCAAAGAUAGGGCCUGCAGCCCCCCCCCCCCCCCCGCUCCUUUCCAUCUGUGCCGCCUUCUUCCUCUCGUCCCUACUGCGACUCCUCUUACUCGUGGUCUUCAGAGAAGGUGCGGAAAGGGAACAGUUGUAUCGGAGCUGAGCACGAAAAAGGUGUACAAUAUCGUCGACAACGGAACACCGCCGCGGAGGCACUCUUUGCCCUCUCACGGCGGCGUUGUAGGCAUCCAAGCCGCAGGAGGCAGGAGUAGUCAGCGUAUCGGAUGCGAGAAGAGUGCCUAAGAUACCGCUUCAUCUCUCUGAUACACCAACGCGCCGCUCCCUCUCUCCUUAUAGACACAAAGAGAGGAGCGAGCACCAGAGCAAGAAGAGAAAACGAUACAGGAUACUCAACAUACGAAGGAAAAUCACUUGCGAGAGAGAGAGAGAGGUGUCAUCAAGGAGAGCGCACAGAGAAGAUAGCUAAGAAUUCCUACACGCAGGGAAGAGGCGGGUAGGCUGACCGUUGACACACCCGCCGCCGCUGCCGCCCUCAUCGCUUUGUUUUCUUCUGCCAGUGUCUUGCCACACACCGCACUCUUUCUCACGCAAUCCCAAACACACGCGCACGAAAAACAAACAAAUGCACACAUGACACACGCUCCUCUCCCAUACCGUCUUGCUCCCCCCCUCCCUCCACCGAGUGGUCUCUCUUUUCUCGGUGCACACACUUCAUUCCUGGACGUCACGCGCGUGUAUUCAACAUACGCCCUCACCCUCUAUCGGCUUGCUUGUGUGCGUGUGUGUAUCUCGGAAGGGUGUGUUCGGUGGCUCUUUUCUCUGCGCGUGUGCAUAUUCUUUGUGCUUGUCUCUUCUGAUUUCGUGUUUCCCCCACCCCUUUCGGAGUGUCGGCUGUACCCUCCUCUUCAGUGGGCGCCGUUUAUCCCUCAUUUCCUUGCGCCCCUCGUCGCCCUGGCAUUUUCAUCGCCAGGCACUUACUGGAGCGUGUGUAUGUGACAGCCCCCCCCCCCCCCCCCCCCACACACACACACACACACACACACACGAAAAGAGAAUACACCGACACGAAGAGCGAGGCACCAGUGAGCCAGUGCGCUCGUGCAGGGCCCGCCUCGUUUUCCCUUCCGCCCCCUGACGUACAUAUCUGUCUUUCUCACCCUUUUCGUUUUUUUUUUUGGGAGGGGGGUCUUUAGCAUUGAGCUUAUCUUGCCUUCCACCCACACCAUUCUUUAUUCGUGCCGCCCGCGCACAGGACUCCCCCUCCUCCUCUACAUACGUCUCGCACACGCAACGCUCCCUCACCGCAGCUCGCCUGCGCGGAGAGCGGCGCCUCCUUUGCCUCUUUUAGCCCGCCCUUUUAUGUGUUUGUUGCGCCCUCCCCCCAACGUAUCCGUCGCCGUCUCCGCCAACCCCUCCCCUCUUCGCUACUCUUCUUUUUCAGUUGCGCGUGCGCGCGUGCCCGGGAGCACAGGGAAAGGGAAGCGUGUGUGGGCGACACAGCAUACCGCCCCUUACCUCUACACAUACGCAGGGCUGCAACUCCGACGCAUACAUAACACGCACGAAAAAGCGAAAGAAUAAGAAAGAGGAGGAUACACAGGCGCUCAAGACUGGGAUUGAAAAUCAGCGAACGUUGUCUCACUCGCUCACUCUCUCUUCUCCUUGCGUUUGGUGUUGCGCAGGUGUGAGGGGCUGCAGUGCGGCUUUCUUGUGUUUUAGCGUGUGCAGCUCGUCUGUGUUGACGGCAGCAGCUGCAGUUAAUAGUAGGGUGGGCGCCAACAUCUACUUUCGGUGAACUUCCGAAACCCUCCUACUCUUGUUACUUCUCUUCGUCUUUGCGUGAGGGCGGCGUGCUCUCUCUCUCUCUCUGCGCGUUUGUGUCGCUUCUAUUCUUUCUUUCUCUGUGUGUGACACCUGUUUUGGGCUCGUCUCUCCCACUUUCAUGCCAAGCUGUCUGUCGCCCUUCACCAGGGAGAGCGCUGCUGGCGCUGCCGGCACUGAGGACAUCGAUGAUGCCCCGGGCUCGACGAUCAUCGCCGCCCAGCGCAGCCGCCUUCGCGAGCUGGUGGAUCGUGCAUACAGUGAGGCUCUUCGGACUGUUGCCCACCUAAGGCUGCUCAUGCCGCUCUCCAAGUACGGCCUCGGCGUUGCCCUCAUCUUGUGCGUGACGGUCAUCUGGGUGGCGUCCUCGGUCUGGAUCCAGUACAUCUUCGGUUCCCUCGAGUUCAACAAGCCGUUCUUCCUCACGUACUUUAACACGACUGGGUUUUGCCUUUGGAACGCCGGCUUCUUUUUCUCGGCUCGCUGGCGGCGCACGCCAUGGGACGAAACAUCGCGGACGCAGCCGGUGUGCAUCGAGGAUGCACGGCUGGACUCGAGGGAGCCGUCGUCGACGGAGGAGGCGGAGGCGGAGGCGGGAGAAGACGCCAGCAUUGGAGCAGUGAGGGAAGCGCCUCAUCAUAGCAGGAGCGUCUCGGGUGUGAGCCCGACUCUUUCCCACACCGUCCCGCACUGUCGAAGUCUUGCAGAGUGGGAGCUGCAGCGGCCACUGAACCACUGCUCACCCUCCUCGAACCUGAUUUCACAUGCUGUACCGCAUUCGACGCAACCGCCCCACUACGGCCAUGCUCUCCUGUCACGGUCGGCGAUCACCGCCGUGAGUGCCCGCCACGCUGGAACGCCACCGCCGACGCCGCGGCUCCCCCCGCAUCAGGUGCUGAUUAGUGUUCACGGCACAGGCAGGAGUCUGCUGGAGGACAACGAUGACAUCGAUGGCGGCAGCGACGUUGGAAGCGCGCACGGUGCGACCAGGUCGACGGUGCAGUUGCACUUCGCGGACGAGUGCCGCGACUAUUCCCUUCCCACCUCGUCGGCGUCGAGUGCGCGAGAGGAGGUGGUCAGUGUCAUCCUGGCGGAUGAGGACGAGCUGGCCGACGCUACCCUGUGGCAGGUUGCGACGCGCCGAGAGGUAGUGAUUUCCUCAAAGAUGCUCCGCCACAACGGUACCGAGGCGCCGCCGCGACGCCGCUAUCGUCAGCGCGCGCGUCGGCAGCGCAUUCGCCGCUACUCGCUCCGGCGCAUCUGGCGGUGCGCGCUCGUCUUCUGCCCGCUUUGGUUUCUAGCCAACUACCUCUUCAACCUCUCCCUCUCGAUCACGUCGGUGGCCUCUAACACGAUCCUGAGUUCCACCUCGUCGAUCUGGGCGCUCUUCUUAUCCCACAUGGUGCUGCGGCAGCCUGUGGGGGCGCAUCGAUUGGUGGCGGUGGUUCUCAGCGUGAGCGGGACAGUUGUGGUGGGGCUGUCCGACAAGGACGCCGCUGGCGGGCACAGCACCGUUGGCGGCAACAUCGUCGCGCUGCUGUCGGCGUUCUUUUACGCCGCCUACACGUCUGUGCUGAAGUUCCACCUGCCGGACGAUGAGCGCUUUGCCAUGGGGAUGGUGUUUGGCGCUGUCGGCGUCUUGAACUGUGUUUUCCUGUGGCCCGGCCUGGUGCUGCUCAGCGUGACGGGUGCGGAGAAGUUUGCGUGGCCGUCCUGGCAGCAGCUCUGGCCCUUGCUGAUGAACUCUCUCGUUGGCACCAAUCUCAGCGACGUGCUGUGGGCCCGCAGCGUCGUGCUCACUUCCCCGGUGGUCGCCACGCUUGGGUUGUCGCUCACCACCCCGCUUGCCAUGGUCGUGGACGCCAUCUCCAAGAAUGCGCACUUCAGCGGCGCUUACGUGGCCGGUGCUGUCCUUGUGAUGGUGGGGUUUCUGCUCGCUAACUUGCCGAUUUAGAUCGACGUGUGGGUGUGUGACGGCGGCGCACGAUAGGGGCAGCGUAUUAUGCGGCUGGACGAGUGGCAGAAGGGGGAGGAGGAGGGCCGCAGUACGCUGCCCGAAGUGCCGGAGCGCCUCUUGCUUUGGGGCUUCUCGUGCUUUGGGCGCCUUCGCACCUUUCCUCCUUCUUUUCGCCACGGAGCUGUGCGGUGGGCGUUGGAUGCCCUGCCGUGGAGGCCGCCGUCUUGCGGCCGUUGUUUCUUUGCCUCUCCUUGGCCCAUCCCUCUCUCUCUCGUAAAGGCGCCCCAGCUCCACGCGAUCAACAUCAUGAGUGACUGUCAGACACAUCCCUCGUUCUCCCCAGCGAGCAAUCGCGUGCCUAUGCGUGUCUGCGUCGAAUCCAGAGGAGCGGGAGGGCGGGCCCACACGCGGUGCGGCAUGUAGUCGAUGAAGCGCGCUUGCAGGACCGCUGCCAAGGCAGAGAGAGAGACGGAGAGACCGGAUUGCCUGUCCGCCUGCCCCCGCUUUGGGCGGGGCAAAGGGAAGCCGGCGCCACGACUGCAGCGAAGGGAUCGGAAACGAGGAUAAUGCGGAACACGCGCCGCCCCGCCUCUUGGCUUCUUUUCCAUGAUCUCCCUCCCGACCCCGCUCCUACCCUGCUGUAUCCGUGCGUGUGUGUGCGUGCGCGUGUGCUUGUGCGUGGAUGUGGGUGUAGGUGUGGGGUCUGCAUGCACAGAUACCCGCCGUCCCCCUCGCCCCUGCUUGCCUCACACACACACACACACACACACGGCCGGCUCCCCCAAGGUUUCACUGCCACUUACUUCCUCCCUCCUCCCCGCCCUUCCCGCGUUUCUAUCUCCGAAAUUUGUGUGUUUUAUUCUCUUCCCGGGCCGCCUCGUACGUCUUCUCCUCUUUGCGUGGUAACGUGUUAUUGUCGCGCCGUGUGUGCAG